Engraulis encrasicolus (European anchovy) is the source of this 665-nucleotide long non-coding RNA. RefSeq lists it as uncharacterized. The transcript is spliced from 3 exons. NCBI's taxonomy places the organism in Eukaryota, Metazoa, Chordata, Actinopteri, Clupeiformes, Engraulidae. The record is from RefSeq and is a predicted model, not a curated record.
UCCGUGUCACUGUCACAUCCCUUUGGGUUCCACUUGGUGGAUCAGGGUCGCCACCGUGCGCCGCCCCAAAUUCUACUGUCAAAACGCGGACCAUAAUCGCAUCCAUAUCUGAUUCACAAACGCGGACGCGCUGUAAAAUCUAACGGACGUUGGUACAGUUUUUGUUGGGGCAGACACGACCGAACAGCGCUCUCCAUAAACAGGUGGAAUUACCUCUGGGUCGGACAGGGCUAGCCAGCUGUAAUCCACCCUGCUACGGUGAUGCCCGCCUGCCUCCCGGCUUUUACGACCAAGAAUCGGAGCGCUGAUGUGAUGUUUCCCCGUCGACUGAUGAGGGAAGGAAGAGAAUGCAGCCACGACACGCGAUUGUUCAACAUGACAGUGAGACAGAAAAAUAAUGUCAAGAUAAAUAAAAAAUCAUGAUGAGUGAAGUUCCUCGUCAGGUUGUGUUUUUUUCGGGAUCUUAUUUAAACGGUGUCUAGGCCAGGUCUGUGUUAUCUGUAGAAUUAAAUCUAAAUGCUGUUUGUAACGGUUAACUGGUUUAGUGUUCGUUUAUUGGGAUUAUAGCAUAAUAAGAAAGUAACUUUAUGAGCACGGAUCCAAAAUGGUCCCGGCCCGGAACAUCUAUGAGUCCGGAAUGGGUCCGUAACUGAUAAAAAGUAGUG